Molecule: long non-coding RNA, 203 nt
Filed under: Arabidopsis lyrata
Lineage: Eukaryota; Viridiplantae; Streptophyta; Magnoliopsida; Brassicales; Brassicaceae
Description: long non-coding RNA (ALYR_LNC001021)
Source: RNAcentral
GCGAACAAGUGAAGCAAAUAAAGGUUCGGCUAUGCGAACAUACAAGAGAUUGGAAAUAGAGCGUUAUUUAAAAGACGGGAUGUCCCUCAUCGUACACUUCGGACUAUGAAAAUCUUGUUGACGAGCAGAACACUUCAACUCCUUGACCAGCAAGAUCGAGGAUCGGUAUCAUGCAGUCCGGAAUUCGAGCAAAGUCAGAGAUU